This 371-nucleotide unclassified non-coding RNA is filed under the name uncultured fungus. RNAcentral describes it as "partial contains small subunit ribosomal RNA, internal transcribed spacer 1, and 5.8S ribosomal RNA". The stretch from base 1 to 73 matches the Rfam family "Eukaryotic small subunit ribosomal RNA", at positions 1759 to 1831 of the family's 1831-position model. Lineage: Eukaryota; Fungi. The record is from RNAcentral.
UCAAACUUGGUCAUUUAGAGGAAGUAAAAGUCGUAACAAGGUUUCCGUAGGUGAACCUGCGGAAGGAUCAUUACAAAUCCAUCCAUCACGUCUCCUUGUGAGACCACGUUGAAAUGUGCUUGUGUUGUGGGAGGAGAUGAGGGGUGCUGUGGUGUGAUGCGCUGGGAGUUGCUGCUGGUGGCUAGUUAGUGUGUCGCGCUGUGCGCGCUCACUCUUCUACCCCUCACGCUCACGGGCUCACGCUCACUCGCUCGCUCGCCGCCCGCAUACGCGAACUAGUUGAUGAUUGUUGUGCAAGUGUAUUGUUUUCUAAACUCAGUACAACUUAUAACAAUGGAUCUCUAGGCUCUUGCAUCGAUGAAGAACGCAGC